RNAcentral lists this ribosomal RNA (253 nucleotides) under uncultured prokaryote. Its description in RNAcentral is "partial 16S ribosomal RNA". It matches the Rfam family "Bacterial small subunit ribosomal RNA", at positions 524 to 776 of the family's 1533-position model. The record is from RNAcentral.
UACGUAGGGACCAAGCGUUGUUCGGAUUUACUGGGCGUAAAGGGCGCGUAGGCGGCAAUUCAAGUCAUCUGUGAAAUCUCCGGGCUUAACUCGGAACGGUCAGAUGAUACUGCUUUGCUAGAGUCCGGAAGAGGAGAGUGGAAUUCCUGGUGUAGCGGUGAAAUGCGCAGAUAUCAGGAAGAACACCCGUGGCGAAGGCGGCUCUCUGGGACGGUACUGACGCUGAGACGCGAAAGCGUGGGGAGCGAACAGG